RNAcentral lists this ribosomal RNA (252 nucleotides) under uncultured bacterium. Its description in RNAcentral is "partial 16S ribosomal RNA". It matches the Rfam family "Bacterial small subunit ribosomal RNA", at positions 524 to 776 of the family's 1533-position model. The record is from RNAcentral.
UACGAAGGGGGCUAGCGUUGCUCGGAAUCACUGGGCGUAAAGGGUGCGUAGGCGGGUCUUAAGUCAGGGGUGAAAUCCUGGAGCUCAACUCCAGAACUGCCUUUGAUACUGAAGAUCUUGAGUCCGGGAGAGGUGAGUGGAACUGCGAGUGUAGAGGUGAAAUUCGUAGAUAUUCGCAAGAACACCAGUGGCGAAGGCGGCUCACUGGCCCGGUACUGACGCUGAGGUGCGAAAGCGUGGGGAGCAAACAGG